Molecule: long non-coding RNA, 417 nt
Filed under: Mytilus galloprovincialis (Mediterranean mussel)
Lineage: Eukaryota; Metazoa; Mollusca; Bivalvia; Mytilida; Mytilidae
Source: RNAcentral
AAAAAAGUUUAUAUAAAUUUUGAUUCAUAUUUGAUAUCUAUAUACAAAUUCAAAUCGUGAGAUUUUCAUUAUUGUCACAAUAAACAUAAUCAAUACAUAAAAAACACAGAGAGAGAAAAAAAUCACAAAAUAACAGGGAUCCCUAAUCAUUGACUAAGUAAAAAUGCCGUACUGAACUAUCCGCUAUAUCCAAGAUUCAUCCAAUUGUACUAUAACUGUGAUCAUCUCUAGGAUCAUCGGUCUCUGGCUAUAUACGUGCCAAAAUAAAUUUUAAUGUAUAUAAAUAAGCCUGUUAAGCAAACACUAUAUAAAAAAAACUUGAUGAAGCAGGGAGAGCUCAACGACUGUGCAAGGGCUGUAUAUCCAGUCAAGGUCGUUAGAAACUUCCAUCGUCGGAAAGAAAAAAAAUCAUCCGAG